AUUGAACGCUGGCGGCAUGCUUUACACAUGCAAGUCGAACGGCAGCGCGGGCUUCGGCCUGGCGGCGAGUGGCGAACGGGUGAGUAAUGCAUCGGAACGUACCCAGUAGUGGGGGAUAGCCCGGCGAAAGCCGGAUUAAUACCGCAUACGACCUGAGGGUGAAAGCGGGGGACCGAAAGGCCUCGCGCUAUUGGAGCGGCCGAUGUCGGAUUAGCUAGUUGGUGGGGUAAAGGCUUACCAAGGCGACGAUCCGUAGCUGGUCUGAGAGGACGACCAGCCACACUGGGACUGAGACACGGCCCAGACUCCUACGGGAGGCAGCAGUGGGGAAUUUUGGACAAUGGGGGCAACCCUGAUCCAGCCAUGCCGCGUGCGGGAAGAAGGCCUUCGGGUUGUAAACCGCUUUUGUUCGGGAAGAAAUCCUCUGGGCUAAUACCCCGGGGGGAUGACGGUACCGGAAGAAUAAGCACCGGCUAACUACGUG
RNAcentral lists this ribosomal RNA (484 nucleotides) under uncultured bacterium. RNAcentral's name for it is "partial 16S ribosomal RNA". It matches the Rfam family "Bacterial small subunit ribosomal RNA", at positions 29 to 507 of the family's 1533-position model. The record is from RNAcentral.